RNAcentral lists this ribosomal RNA (433 nucleotides) under Mesovelia horvathi. Its description in RNAcentral is "partial 16S ribosomal RNA". Lineage: Eukaryota; Metazoa; Arthropoda; Insecta; Hemiptera; Mesoveliidae. The record is from RNAcentral.
GUUUUAUGGAUAUUAAUUUUAAAUUUGACCUGCUCUAUGAUUUAUUAAAUGGCUGCAGUAUUUUAACUGUACUAAGGUAGCAUAAUAAUUUGUCUUUUAAUUGAAGGCUAGAAUGAAUGGUUUGAUGAAAAAUUAACUUUUUUAUUUUAAUAUUUUGAAUUUAAUUUUUUAGUUAAAAAGCUAAAAUUUUUUUAUAGGACGAGAAGACCCUAUAGAAUUUUAUUUUUUUUAUAUUUUUAUUUUUUUUGUUAAUUUUAUUUUAAAAUUAUAUUAAUAAUUUUGUUGGGGUGAUGUAAAAAUUUUUUUAACUUUUUAUUUAUUUUUCAUUAAUUUAUGUUUUUAUGAUCCUAAUUUUUAGAUUAAAAGAUUAAAUUACCUUAGGGAUAACAGCGUUAUUUUUUUUGAUAGUUCUUAUUGAUGAAAAAGUUUGCGA